AUGAAUAUCUUGAGUUGGAACUGCCGGGGAGGGGGGAAUCCCCGGACAGUUCGUGAAUUGGCGACUAUAGCUCAGUCGCAUUACCCCAAUUUGGUUUUUUUGUGUGAAACUCGACAGAAAGCUGAUAAGAUGAGAAGGAUUCGAGGACGACUAGGACUAAAGGGGUUCACAGGCGUGGACUGCAAUGGGAUGAGCGAAGGCCUUGCCUUGUUUUGGAACGAGUCGUAUGUGGUGGAAAUAUUGGACAAGGAGGAGAGAUUUAUUGAUGCCCUAGUGCGGGUACAGGAGGGUGCAGCUCAAUGGAGAUUGACGUGCGUGUAUGGUGAACCACGCGUGGAGAACCGACAUAUCAUGUGGGAGAAGCUGCAGCGAUUGCAAAACGUUAAUGACCUACCCUGGCUUGUGGUGGGCGAUUUUAAUGAAGCUAUGUGGAAUUAUGAACACUUCUCAGUGACACCGAGGGCAAAACCUCAAAUGGUUGCCUUCCGGGAUGCGUUGGAAAUUUGUGGCCUAGUGGAUUUGGGCUUUGUGGGUCUAUCGUUUACUUACGACAAUAAAAGAGCAGGUGCAGCAAAUGUGCAAGUUAGGCUGGACAGAGCGGUAGCCACAAACACAUGGAGGAACUUAUUUGCGUUUUCUUCAGUAACACAUGUUCCGUCUCCUUGCUCUGAUCAUGUUGCUUUAGUUAUUAAAGGGGCGGCUGACCUAGGCUCGGCCAGAACUAAAUAG
This 729-nucleotide ribosomal RNA is filed under the name Triticum aestivum (bread wheat). RNAcentral describes it as "partial small subunit ribosomal RNA". The record is from RNAcentral. Lineage: Eukaryota; Viridiplantae; Streptophyta; Magnoliopsida; Poales; Poaceae.